AAGGCUAAAAAUCAUUCCUUAACCUGUCUCCUCCCCUUCAUCUACACUGAUUGAAGUGGAUUUAACAAGUGGCAUCAAUAAGGGAUCAUAGCUUUCACCUGGAUUCACCUGGUCAGUCUAUGUCAUGGAAAGAGCAGGUGUUCUUAAAGUUUUGUACACUCAGUGUAUAUGUAUCAUGUAUACGCAGAUACCAUUAAUGUUUUGUGCGUGCAUGUGCGUUUGCAUGUGCGUGGUGUGUGUGUGUGGUGAUAAUUCAGCUCUGGGUGGCAAUUAAUGCCAAGCGCUGACAGUGGUGGUAGACAGAUUGAGUGUCCCAGGGAUAGGUCCCACAUCAGGGGACAGGGUGGUGGAGUGAGUGUCCCAGGGAUAGGUCCCACAUCAGGGGACAGGGUGGUGGAGUGAGUGUCCCAGGGAUAGGUCCCACAUCAGGGGACAGGGCGGUGGAGUGAGUGUCCCAGGGAUAGGUCCCAGAUCAGGGGACAGGGCGGUGGAGUGAGUGAGUGUCCCAGGGAUAGGUCCCACAUCAGGGGACAGGGCAGUGGAGUGAGUGAGUGUCCCAGGGAUUGGUCCCACAUCAGGGGACAGAGUGGUGGAGUCCCAGGGACAGGUCCCAGGUUGGGGCACAGCCAGACAGACAGCAGGUGAAAAGAAAAGAGAAAUACUUGAUCCAUUAAGUAGGUUCUCUACUAUCAAACUGCAAUCCUUAAUCAACCCAUUGACCCUACUCUUUAGGCACACAGUAAAACUGAUGGAAAGUCCUCCAGCCUAUAGGAGGGUAAGUUGGUAUAUUUUGUUUAUACAUACAAUCCACUAACAUCUACACAAGUGCCUGAGGGGUUAGGGACAAGGGUUGAGUUGGGGCAAUAGGAUAGGAUAGGAGACAGCAGUUCAGUUUAAACGUGGGAGUUUGUGAGUUGCUUUGGAUGAAAGCGUCCAUUGAGUGACCAUCUAAAUGUGAUAGAAAUGUGGGGAAGGAGUGGUGAAAGGCUGUGUGGCAGUGGAGGCUGGUGUGUACUCUGCUAUCAGUCUAUAGCUCCUCCCACCAGCCCCCACUGCUGUGUAGUAAUCCAUGAGGUGUGUACUCUGCUAUCAGUCUAUAGCUCCUCCCACCAGCCCCCACUGCUGUGUAGUAAUCCAUGAGGUGUGUACUCUGCUAUCAGUCUAUAGCUCCUCCCACCAGCCCCCACUGCUGUGUAGUAAUCCAUGAGGUGUGUACUCUGCUAUCAGUCUAUAGCUCCUCCCACCAGCCCCCACUGCUGUGUAGUAAUCCAUGAG
RNAcentral lists this long non-coding RNA (1275 nucleotides) under Salmo salar (Atlantic salmon). RNAcentral's name for it is "lncRNA (ENSSSAG00000116727.1)". Lineage: Eukaryota; Metazoa; Chordata; Actinopteri; Salmoniformes; Salmonidae. The record is from RNAcentral.